CCUACGGGGGGCAGCAGUGAGGAAUAUUGGUCAAUGGGCGAGAGCCUGAACCAGCCAAGUCGCGUGAGGGAAGACGGUCCUAUGGAUUGUAAACCUCUUUUGCCGGGGAGCAAAAAGCGGUACGUGUACCGCAUCGAGAGUACCCGGAGAAAAAGCAUCGGCUAACUCCGUGCCAGCAGCCGCGGUAAUACGUAGGUGGCAAGCGUUGUCCGGAUUUACUGGGUGUAAAGGGCGUGUAGCCGGGCUGACAAGUCAGAUGUGAAAUCCGGGGGCUCAACCCCCGAACUGCAUUUGAAACUGU
RNAcentral lists this ribosomal RNA (301 nucleotides) under uncultured bacterium. Its description in RNAcentral is "bacterial SSU rRNA". It matches the Rfam family "Bacterial small subunit ribosomal RNA", at positions 338 to 636 of the family's 1533-position model. The record is from RNAcentral.